AGAAGAGGGGCUCAGUGGUAGAACUUCUGCUUCAUCUGCAGAAGGUGCAAGGUUUGAUCCCUGGCGCCUCCA
This 72-nucleotide transfer RNA is filed under the name Sphaerodactylus townsendi. RNAcentral's name for it is "tRNA-Met". Lineage: Eukaryota; Metazoa; Chordata; Lepidosauria; Squamata; Sphaerodactylidae. The record is from RNAcentral.